RNAcentral lists this ribosomal RNA (497 nucleotides) under uncultured bacterium. RNAcentral describes it as "partial 16S ribosomal RNA". It matches the Rfam family "Bacterial small subunit ribosomal RNA", at positions 28 to 507 of the family's 1533-position model. The record is from RNAcentral.
GAUGAACGCUGGCGGCGUGCCUAAUACAUGCAAGUCGAGCGAACAGACGAGGAGCUUGCUCCUCUGACGUUAGCGGCGGACGGGUGAGUAACACGUGGAUAACCUACCUAUAAGACUGGGAUAACUUCGGGAAACCGGAGCUAAUACCGGAUAAUAUAUUGAACCGCAUGGUUCAAUAGUGAAAGACGGUUUUGCUGUCACUUAUAGAUGGAUCCCCGCCGCAUUAGCUAGUUGGUAAGGUAACGGCUUACCAAGGCGACGAUGCUUAGCCGACCUGAGAGCGUGAUCGGCCACACUGGAAUUGAGCCACGUGCCCGACGCCUACGGGAGGCGGCAGUAGGGAAUCUUCCGCAAUGCGCGAAAGCCUGACGGAGCGACGCCGCGUGAGUGAUGAAGGUCUUCGGAUCGUAAAACUCUGUUAUUAGGGAAGAACAAAUGUGUAAGUAACUAUGCACGUCUUGACGGUACCUAAUCAGAAAGCCACGGCUAACUACGUG